Molecule: long non-coding RNA, 660 nt
Organism: Clupea harengus (Atlantic herring)
Lineage: Eukaryota; Metazoa; Chordata; Actinopteri; Clupeiformes; Clupeidae
Source: RefSeq, a predicted model, not a curated record
CAUGUAAACGGCAUGUUGACCGGAAUUGUUAGUUUAAGCGUUUAACACGUCCUGGUUCCAAAGCCAAAUUAAUGAAAAAUGAUUGGAUUAUCGCAAAAAAAAAGUAAUAUAAUGUUGAGCGAAACAAAAUGUUUGUGGAAAGACCCCGUUUGUGCUGGACCAAGUUCCCCUAGGCUUGAGUGUAAAGAACCUGUUUGUGCUGGCCCAAGUUCCCCUAGGCUUGAGUUUGAAGAACCUGUUUGUGCUGGCCCAAGUUCCCCUAGGUUUGAGGCCGGUUUCACAAACAUUAGCACUCUGCAUGUGGCGGCGCAGCUGGAGCUUCACACAGGUGGGUUGGUGCGCAGUUGAUUGGGGCUCUUAUCCCAUUGGGCCUAUAGAAGUCCCGGCCCUUUAAAAGCGUCCGGGAUUCCAUCAUACGGGGCUUGCUUUGGGGAUUGCGCAUUUCUGUUGUCUGCCACCACUCGUUGCCGCUAGGUCCAGCCUCGGGCUUUGCCCGCGCCACUACCAUCAUGUUCGCUACUCACCGGAGUGAGAGACCGGGAGAGAGUGCCAGGCUGUUGAGGCCUGUUCGCGAAGCCUUGUGUUUUUGCUUGUUACAUUAUUUUUGAGCCUUAGUUUAAUUAUUUUAUUCUUUGUCCAAUAAAUUCAAGGUUAUUUUUA